Molecule: small RNA, 85 nt
Filed under: Caenorhabditis elegans
Lineage: Eukaryota; Metazoa; Nematoda; Chromadorea; Rhabditida; Rhabditidae
Description: Unclassified non-coding RNA Y69A2AR.53
Source: RNAcentral
GAUUGUCGAUUUGGAGAGAUAUAAGCUGAAAACCGUUACUCAGGAGCAGAUUCUGGGCGAUUCGACGUCUAAGCGUACAAUUCAG